This is a long non-coding RNA of Nerophis lumbriciformis (worm pipefish), 541 nucleotides long. RefSeq lists it as uncharacterized. NCBI's taxonomy places the organism in Eukaryota, Metazoa, Chordata, Actinopteri, Syngnathiformes, Syngnathidae. The record is from RefSeq and is a predicted model, not a curated record.
CACACGCUGAGCAAUAGCUCCGUGCCUGCCUACUUUAUGGGUUAUAGAUAAACCUAUAGAUAACGGAGACAUAUAUAAUAGUCUCCUUCUUGUUGUAGCCGUAGAUGUUAUAACGUGACGACAGGCUGUCCUCACUCAGGUCCGGCUGGAAAUCGGGAGAAAUUCGGGAGAAUGGUUGUCCCGGGAGAUUUUCGGGAGAGGCACUGAAAUUCGGGAGUCUCCCGGAAAAUUCGGGAGGGUUGGCAAAGAGGGAGUUAGGCUGAGUCCACUCUCAGUGCUGCUGGAGUGAUCGCCAAGUGCCGAAGUGCGAAACACCGGCUGAGUCGGCAACCAGGCGUCACACGCAACCCAGCCAACAAACCAGCCUGCAAAGAUGGAGGGAAUCGCUGUGGACUUAGACUUAGAGAGGAGCGGGAACCCUGGAAGAAGAGGACUCUCCUUUCAAGCAGUAACACACUGCCCCUCCUCCCUGCCCCCUACUCUCUCUGCCUCCCCUCCCUUCUUUGCCUUGUGUCUUUGCUCUAGUCCUCUCGUCAAUUUG